Ribosomal RNA from Lepisosteus oculatus (spotted gar), 119 nucleotides. The record is from Ensembl. Lineage: Eukaryota; Metazoa; Chordata; Actinopteri; Semionotiformes; Lepisosteidae.
UCCAGCAGCCAUAUCACUCUGCAACUCACAACUGGCAACCCACUGAAGCUAAGCAGGUGUGAGCCUGGUCAGUACCUGGAUGGGAGACCUCCUGGGAAAAACUAAGGUUGCUGCUGGAA